AUACGGAGGACGCGAGCGUUAUCCGGAUUCAUUGGGUUUAAAGGGUGCGCAGGCGGCCGUGCAAGUCAGCGGUGAAAGCCCGGGGCUCAACCCCGGAAGUGCCGUUGAUACUGCAUGGCUGGAAUGCGGUCGAGGCGGGCGGGACGUGGCGGGUAGCGGGGAAAUGGGUAGAUAGGCCACAGAACGCCGAUAGCGGAGGCGGCUCGCGAGGCCUGCAUUGACGCUCGGGCACGAAAGCGUGGGGAUCGAACAGGAUUAGAUACCCUGGUAGUCCACGCCGUAAACGAUGGGCGCUCGUCGUCGGCGGCAGACAGUCGGCGGCCAAGCGAAAGCGAUAAGCGCCCCACCUGGGGAGUACGGUCGCAAGGCUGAAACUCAAAUGAAUUGGCGGGG
This 393-nucleotide ribosomal RNA is filed under the name uncultured bacterium. RNAcentral describes it as "partial 16S ribosomal RNA". It matches the Rfam family "Bacterial small subunit ribosomal RNA", at positions 523 to 918 of the family's 1533-position model. The record is from RNAcentral.